This 252-nucleotide ribosomal RNA is filed under the name uncultured Bacteroidales bacterium. RNAcentral's name for it is "partial 16S ribosomal RNA". It matches the Rfam family "Bacterial small subunit ribosomal RNA", at positions 524 to 776 of the family's 1533-position model. The record is from RNAcentral. Lineage: Bacteria; Pseudomonadati; Bacteroidota; Bacteroidia; Bacteroidales.
UACGUAGGGGGCAAGCGUUAUCCGGAUUUAUUGGGUUUAAAGGGUGCGUAGGCGGUCCGUUAAGUCAGCGGUAAAAUUGCGGGGCUCAACCCCGUCGAGCCGUUGAAACUGGCAGUCUCGAGUUGGAGAGAAGUAUGCGGAAUGCGCGGUGUAGCGGUGAAAUGCAUAGAUAUCGCGCAGAACCCCGAUUGCGAAGGCAGCAUACCGGCGCCCUACUGACGCUGAGGCACGAAAGUGCGGGUAUCGAACAGG